This 369-nucleotide ribosomal RNA is filed under the name Triticum aestivum (bread wheat). Its description in RNAcentral is "partial small subunit ribosomal RNA". The record is from RNAcentral. Lineage: Eukaryota; Viridiplantae; Streptophyta; Magnoliopsida; Poales; Poaceae.
AUGAAGUAUCCGGUUCUAGUUGUCAUAAUGUCAAGGUACAACUCCGGGUCGUCCUUUUACCGAGGGACACGGCUAUUCGAACGGAUAAACUUCCCUGCAGGGGUGCACCACAUUUCCCAACACGCUGGAUCCCCUUUGUCCGGACACACUUUUCUGGGUCAUGCCCGGCCUCGGAAGAUCAACACGUCGCAGCCCUACCUAGGCACAACAGAGAGGUCAGCACACCGGUCUAAAUCCUAUGGCGCAGGGGUCUGGGCCCAUCGCCCAUUGCACACCUGCACGUUGCAUACGCGGCCGGCGAGAAGACCUAGCCUCCCUUAUACAAGAGCAGGCGUUUCAGUCCAACCCAGCGCGCCGCUCAGUCGCUGA